This 71-nucleotide transfer RNA is filed under the name Ovis aries (sheep). It matches the Rfam family "tRNA". Rfam says of the family: Transfer RNA (tRNA) molecules are approximately 80 nucleotides in length. Their secondary structure includes four short double-helical elements and three loops (D, anti-codon, and T loops). Further hydrogen bonds mediate the characteristic L-shaped molecular structure. tRNAs have two regions of fundamental functional importance: the anti-codon, which is responsible for specific mRNA codon recognition, and the 3' end, to which the tRNAs corresponding amino acid is attached (by aminoacyl-tRNA synthetases). tRNAs cope with the degeneracy of the genetic code in two manners: having more than one tRNA (with a specific anti-codon) for a particular amino acid; and 'wobble' base-pairing, i.e. permitting non-standard base-pairing at the 3rd anti-codon position. Lineage: Eukaryota; Metazoa; Chordata; Mammalia; Artiodactyla; Bovidae. The record is from Rfam by way of RNAcentral.
UCCCUGGUGAUCCAGUGGUUGAGUCUGUUCUCCCAAGGCAGGGGGCACAGGUUCAAUUCCUGGUCAGGGAA